RNAcentral lists this long non-coding RNA (319 nucleotides) under Capsella rubella. RNAcentral's name for it is "long non-coding RNA (CRUB_LNC000869)". The record is from RNAcentral. Lineage: Eukaryota; Viridiplantae; Streptophyta; Magnoliopsida; Brassicales; Brassicaceae.
AAAUAACCUUGUAAUCAAGUUGGCGCCGCUGCCGGGGAGCAAUUGUGUUACCUAAGGAUUUAGGAUUAGUUUUUAGUCUUAAGCAAUUUUUUUUACAGUUUUUUAACUAACAAUUUUUCUUUCUUUUUGGUGAUUUAGGAGUGAUUGGCCAUGGAAUUCAAUGAUAGGCCACAAGAAGAAGAGGAUGAGCCAUAUAUAGAGCCACCAUUUGAUGAGAGUGUUCUUACACCGGAACAAAAAGUGAAGUUGGAUGGACUUUACGUGGAGAAUCCAACAUUGACAAGGAGUGAGUUAGCGACUAUGAUCCGGUUGAACCUCA